RNAcentral lists this ribosomal RNA (458 nucleotides) under Lirophora latilirata. RNAcentral's name for it is "partial large subunit ribosomal RNA". It matches the Rfam family "Bacterial large subunit ribosomal RNA", at positions 1818 to 2597 of the family's 2925-position model. Lineage: Eukaryota; Metazoa; Mollusca; Bivalvia; Venerida; Veneridae. The record is from RNAcentral.
GCUCUUUGUAGAUUGAAAUAAAGAGUCGGGCCUGCCCGGUGAUAGUAAACGGCUGCAACGAGAGUUGUACUAAGGUAGCGUGAUAAUUUGCCUUUUAAUUGAAGGAUGGUAUGAAUGGUUUGACGUAUAAUUUCUUUUUUUGUAUAACUUAUUUAAGUUUCUUUUUAAGUGAAAAAGCUUAAGUUUUUGAAAAAGACGAGAAGACCCUGUCGAACUUAAUUAAAGAUAUAAAAAAUUAUGUCUGGAAGUUUUGUUGGGGCAACACUAAUUAAAUUAACAAUUAGUUUAAUAACAUAAAUCCUUUUUGAAAGAAAAUGGAAAAAGUUACCGCAGGGAUAACAGCGUUAUUUCUCUUAAGAGAUCGAAUUGAGAGAGAAGUUUGCGACCUCGAUGUUGGAUUAUAGAAACUUUAUGGUGUAGCAGCUAUAAUUGUGGGACUGUUCGUCUUUUAAAUCUAU